UCUCCUGUAGCUCAGUGGUAGAGCAUCCGGCUGAAGUGCGGAAGGUCAUAGGGUCCACACUUGUUGGGAGAA
Desmophyllum pertusum is the source of this 72-nucleotide non-coding RNA. The record is from the annotation of a GenBank genome assembly. NCBI's taxonomy places the organism in Eukaryota, Metazoa, Cnidaria, Anthozoa, Scleractinia, Caryophylliidae.